AAAUUUCACCAUUGGUCCCUAUAGUUUGAUUAAUUUUUUUUGUGAUUAAUUAUUUGGUGCUCUUAGAUCUGUAUUUGUUGGUCUCUUUUUGGCUGUGACAAUUGUCUUCUUGAGCAGACGAGUGAUCCGACCCGAUUCCUGGCGGGGUGACCCGGUUGGUCUCUAAGAGAUGAGCCCAUUGUUGUUGCAGCCAAGUUGGGAGUCCGAUUCGGGGCUGAUCAAACACAGAUCUGAUCCUAAAUAAAAACUUUUAUUUCAAAUUUUUUAUGAAAAUUUAAUUCUAU
RNAcentral lists this long non-coding RNA (284 nucleotides) under Actinidia chinensis (golden kiwifruit). Its description in RNAcentral is "long non-coding RNA (ACHI_LNC001807)". Lineage: Eukaryota; Viridiplantae; Streptophyta; Magnoliopsida; Ericales; Actinidiaceae. The record is from RNAcentral.